GACGAACGCUGGCGGCGUGCUUAACACAUGCAAGUCGAACGGAAAGGCCCUGCUUUUGUGGGGUGCUCGAGUGGCGAACGGGUGAGUAACACGUGAGUAACCUGCCCUUGACUUUGGGAUAACUUCAGGAAACUGGGGCUAAUACCGGAUAGGAGCUCCUGCUGCAUGGUGGGGGUUGGAAAGUUUCGGCGGUUGGGGAUGGACUCGCGGCUUAUCAGCUUGUUGGUGGGGUAGUGGCUUACCAAGGCUUUGACGGGUAGCCGGCCUGAGAGGGUGACCGGCCACAUUGGGCCUGAGAUACGGCCCAGCCUCCUACGGGAGGCAGCAGUGGGGAAUAUUGCACAAUGGGCGGAAGCCUGAUGCAGCAACGCCGCGUGCGGGAUGACGGCCUUCGGGUUGUAAACCGCUUUCGCCUGUGACGAAGCGUGAGUGACGGUAAUGGGUAAAGAAGCACCGGCUAACUACGUG
This 468-nucleotide ribosomal RNA is filed under the name uncultured bacterium. RNAcentral's name for it is "partial 16S ribosomal RNA". It matches the Rfam family "Bacterial small subunit ribosomal RNA", at positions 28 to 507 of the family's 1533-position model. The record is from RNAcentral.